This is a transfer RNA of Serratia odorifera DSM 4582, 85 nucleotides long. It matches the Rfam family "tRNA". From Rfam's summary of the family: Transfer RNA (tRNA) molecules are approximately 80 nucleotides in length. Their secondary structure includes four short double-helical elements and three loops (D, anti-codon, and T loops). Further hydrogen bonds mediate the characteristic L-shaped molecular structure. tRNAs have two regions of fundamental functional importance: the anti-codon, which is responsible for specific mRNA codon recognition, and the 3' end, to which the tRNAs corresponding amino acid is attached (by aminoacyl-tRNA synthetases). tRNAs cope with the degeneracy of the genetic code in two manners: having more than one tRNA (with a specific anti-codon) for a particular amino acid; and 'wobble' base-pairing, i.e. permitting non-standard base-pairing at the 3rd anti-codon position. Lineage: Bacteria; Pseudomonadati; Pseudomonadota; Gammaproteobacteria; Enterobacterales; Yersiniaceae. The record is from Rfam.
GGAAGGAUGGCUGAGUGGUUUAAGGCAGCGGUCUUGAAAACCGUCGAGUGUAACAGCUCCCAGAGUUCGAAUCUCUGUCCUUCCG